Molecule: long non-coding RNA, 475 nt
Organism: Trachemys scripta elegans
Lineage: Eukaryota; Metazoa; Chordata; Testudines; Emydidae
Exons: 3
Source: RefSeq, a predicted model, not a curated record
UAGAAUGAAGCAUAUUGCAGUGCUGUUCAGAUGUCUCAUAGGCAUCGUUCCACUAUACGCUGGGAAGGGUCAGAUCUGCCUCACCACUCUUGGGUAUCAUCAGCCUCUGAUGGAUGCAUCAUAAUAAUCCCUGGCCCACAGCAGGAGAGUCUCCUUUUUGUGACUAAGAGCAAAGAAGUAGUCUGGUAUAUCAGGAGACUGCAAGGAGUCACCCACCUAGAAGACGCGCUGCCAGCUGGCUUGUCCUGUGAAUGGAUGGUCACAGCCAGCAAAGUUGUGAAGUGCUGGGAGAAAGAGCCUGCAGAAGAUGUAACCACUGACCUGAAAAACUAACCCGUGUGUUCAGUCUUUAAGGAUCAGAUGGGCAUAAUCUUCCUGAUCAAGUUUUUGCUACUCCUGGGUACCGAUAAUGAUGGACAUCAGUCCUUCCUUUCUUCAGCUUCUGAAUCUCUGCGGGCUCAUCCAUAUGUGAGAG